CUCUCUUUUUCCAAUCACAAUAAAUCUGAAAUUUGACCUAAUGGUUGGAUCUCCUCUUCGUCUUUUGAUGUGGCUGUUGGAAUACUUAUGGAGGUAGCGUCCGAUUGAUUAACCUGAUGAGAGCCACCUCCUUAUCAUCUGUCGACCAUCCACAUCAAUCAUUAUCUCACACCUUGUUCAACAUAUCAUCUUUGUUGUUGUUGCUGCCACUACAAUGAAGGGGGAGAAUAUUUUAUCUGAUGAAUCAUGAUAGGCUUUCUAAGCAAGUGGUGCCAACCAAGUGACGAGGAGCAAGUUAGGCCAAGCACUUCAGGGCUGUCAACUCUUGAAUCAUUCUAUGCAGGACUGGAGAACAUAUUCUUGGUUCAUCAAUUUAGGGUUUAGGAGAUGAAAACCUGAUGUACUUCAUCCAAAUCAUUUCCUGUAUACCUGGAGAGGCAUUAACAUCAUACAAUGGGGGAAUGAGGAUUUACAUUAGAAGUUCAAAUUAGACUAAGAGGACCAAUGGCUGAAAGCAGAUAUGAA
Musa acuminata subsp. malaccensis (wild Malaysian banana) is the source of this 525-nucleotide long non-coding RNA. RefSeq lists it as uncharacterized. Lineage: Eukaryota; Viridiplantae; Streptophyta; Magnoliopsida; Zingiberales; Musaceae. The record is from RefSeq and is a predicted model, not a curated record.